AUGGAUUGGAAUCCAAAGGUGCUAUGUUGGAACGUGAGGGGGUUGAAUAACCCAGCGAAGAGGAAUGCGGUAAGGGAGUUUGUGGUGGAAGCCAAAGUGAACCUAGUGUGCUUGCAAGAAAUGAAACUUGAUGUAAUUGAUCCUUUUAUUGCCCUGCAAUGUUUGGGGUCAUCUUAUGAUGGCUUCGCCUACUUACCGGCAUCUGACACAUGUGGUGGGAUUCUUUUGGGGUGGGAUACGAUAGUGUUGGAGGUGGAUAACAUGGCCAUGGAUACUCAUUCCCUUACGGGGCUGCUGCACAUUAAGGAAGGGUCGACAUGGUGGGUGACAGUGGUUUAUGGACCGCAAGGGGAUGAUGCGAAGAUGCAGUUUCUAGUUGAGUUACACAAUAGGCGUGCCAUUUGCUCGGGGCCUUGGAUGCUGCUCAGGGACUUUAAUAUGAUCAUACGGGUGGAUGAGAAGAGAAAUAACAAUCUGAACCGGAGGAUUAUGAGAAGAUUCAAAGAUUUUGUGGAUGAUUGCGAGUUGAAGGAACCUUACAUGCAUGGGAGGCAUUUUACGUGGUCGAACAAAAGGGAGCAGCCGAUGCUAACAAAAAUUGAUCGUGUGCUUUUUUCGGUGGAUUGGGAUCUAACUUACCCGGAUGUGUUGUUGCAAGCUCUCUCUACAAACAUUUCGAACCAUACCCUCCUACACUUAACCAACUCCGCCCCUUUUUGCGUGAAGAAAAAGUUUCGCUUUGAGAUGUAUUGGCUAAAGCUGGAUGGGUUUGAGUAG
RNAcentral lists this ribosomal RNA (777 nucleotides) under Triticum aestivum (bread wheat). Its description in RNAcentral is "partial small subunit ribosomal RNA". Lineage: Eukaryota; Viridiplantae; Streptophyta; Magnoliopsida; Poales; Poaceae. The record is from RNAcentral.